GAUGAACGCUGGCGGCGUGCCUAAUACAUGCAAGUCGAGCGAACAGAUAAGGAGCUUGCUCCUUUGACGUUAGCGGCGGACGGGUGAGUAACACGUGGGCAACCUGCCUAUAAGACUGGGAUAACUUCGGGAAACCGGAGCUAAUACCGGAUAAUCCCUUUCCUCUCAUGAGGAAAGGCUGAUAGAUGGUUUACGCUAUCACUUAUAGAUGGGCCCGCGGCGCAUUAGCUAGUUGGUGAGGUAACGGCCCACCAAGACAACGAUGCGUAGCCGACCUGAGAGGGUGAUCGGCCACACUGGGACUGAGACACGGCCCAGACUCCUACGGGAGGCAGCAGUAGGGAAUCUUCCGCAAUGGACGAAAGUCUGACGGAGCAACGCCGCGUGAGUGAUGAAGGUUUUCGGAUCGUAAAACUCUGUUGUUAGGGAAGAACAAGUACGAGAGUAACUGCUCGUACCUUGACGGUACCUAACCAGAAAGCCACGGCUAACUACGUGCCAGCAGCCGCCGUAA
RNAcentral lists this ribosomal RNA (514 nucleotides) under uncultured bacterium. Its description in RNAcentral is "partial 16S ribosomal RNA". It matches the Rfam family "Bacterial small subunit ribosomal RNA", at positions 28 to 523 of the family's 1533-position model. The record is from RNAcentral.